AGUGAACGCUGGCGGUAGGCCUAACACAUGCAAGUCGAACGGCAGCACAGUAAGAGCUUGCUCUUACGGGUGGCGAGUGGCGGACGGGUGAGGAAUACAUCGGAAUCUACUUUUUCGUGGGGGAUAACGUAGGGAAACUUACGCUAAUACCGCAUACGACCUACGGGUGAAAGCAGGGGAUCUUCGGACCUUGCGCGAUUGAAUGAGCCGAUGUCGGAUUAGCUAGUUGGCGGGGUAAAGGCCCACCAAGGCGACGAUCCGUAGCUGGUCUGAGAGGAUGGUCAGCCACACUGUCACUGAGACACGGUCCAGACUCCUACGGGAGGCAGCAGUGGGGAAUAUUGGACAAUGGGCGCAUGCCUGAUCCAGCCAUACCGCGUGGGUGAAGAAGGCCUUCUGGUUGUAAAGCCCUUUUGUUGGGAAAGAAAAGCAGCAGGUUAAUACCCCGCUGUUCUGACGGUACCCAAAGAAUAAGCACCGGCUAACUUCGUG
This 492-nucleotide ribosomal RNA is filed under the name uncultured bacterium. RNAcentral describes it as "partial 16S ribosomal RNA". It matches the Rfam family "Bacterial small subunit ribosomal RNA", at positions 29 to 507 of the family's 1533-position model. The record is from RNAcentral.